Molecule: long non-coding RNA, 1593 nt
Filed under: Drosophila guanche
Lineage: Eukaryota; Metazoa; Arthropoda; Insecta; Diptera; Drosophilidae
Source: RNAcentral
GUUAAAUUGCAAUGUGCGCGUGUGUUUUUUUGUCGAGGUACACAAUUUUUUUGCAAGUGCUAAAUGUUAGUGUGCGGUGUAUAUAUGUGUGUAAGUUGUGGUCGCCACUUGUCCCCCAUAAUUGAUUUGCUAAAUUUAAUGCUUUCCCGCCUCCACUGUGCUUGAUUGUAACAUUAAAUAGUAUCAACAAUUUUAUUGCAGGAAAACGGCGGGAGAAAAGAAGGAAACCAAAGAGAAGACGAAAACAUAACCAAAGGCAGGCAACGCAUGUUGCACAUGCCAAAGCGGGAUGGCAUGAUACCACUUCAGUUUUGCCAUUUUUUUUGUUGUGAAAUUUGUGUGCAAUUUUGAGAAGUUUAUUCGAAAAUUUGCAACGAUACGGCUUUGUGGAAUAACAAAUCUGGCCCUGACCGGCUGGCCACCCCUUGUUUCUCACUGGAAAAUUCGCCGACGACCGCAGUUGGCUUUGCAUUUUACGUUUGAAAGGAUUAAGAACGGGUUUGCAGUAGCAGCACCACCGGCACCACCCCACGGGGCCCACAAAAGAGCUUAAGCGCGGGCCCUGGUCUCUGGUCAACGCCUGCUGCCGCCCGUUGUGUGCGGCUUUGGCUCUGAUUUACUCUCGGGGGUGGCUUCCUUCCACUUCAUGUAAAUGGCCCAAACAUUAAAGCAGCACUUGAGUUGCUGUGUGUGUAUCUUGCUGCCCGUCAAAGUCAUGCCACACACAGUCCAGUGGGGGAACCACCCUAAGCUGAGAGUACUGUGGCGUACUAUAUGCAAAAUGCAAACAAUGGACAACGCAACGCUGUAGUCACGUGCUGCCAACACCACCACCAGCUGCUGCCGCUCGGCCUCUUUCCGAGAACUCCUCCUAAUAAGCGGCAAAUAAUUGGCAGACGAACUUGAGACUAGAGAGACUACCCCAAUGGCAGGGAGCAGGGAAUGGGGACCAGCGGCUGCCCGUGGCAACUGCAAUUGCCACUAAAAAUCGAUAUCCACCCUGCCACCCAGGCCUGUCUGCCUGCCCGCCUGCUGCAGGUUGUCGAUCCUGGAAUGGAGUACUGUUUGUUUGCAUUUCCAGUCCCCAGAGAGAGAGAGCGCGUUUGAAUGAGAGUCUGCUCUCAGUUGCAGUUGGAAAUUGGAGUACAGGUAAGUCCUGAGAAUAUAGUGCUCCCCCACCCCGCUUUAAAACCUCUUUUUUUCUAUCUUUUGUAGGUAUGUUUUUGUAAUGUGCAACCACAACAACAAUUAGAAUUUCCGGCUAUAAACUCUGGGGCACAGGCCUAGGCGUAAGCGUUAGCCCAGAACCCCAUGUCAUUUUGACCAAAUUUGAAUGUCAAACGCAAACGGUGAUGCAGGGCCGGAUCUAAGUGAAAGAAAUUGAGGUACAGAGGUACUGCAUCCGCUCCUGGUAAUGACAGUUGCAUUCUGUGGCCCCCUGGCUGCCUGGUGCUCAAUGAACCAUUCAUUCUCUUCUCUGUUUUCUGUUGCCUGUCUGUCUUGGACUACGAACAUGGGCAACAACAAUUAAUAUGGCCAGCGAUGCGAAUCUAAUAAUGUGACUACAAUAGACCCGCUUCAGCCAGUCCAGUC